Molecule: ribosomal RNA, 482 nt
Filed under: Ctenolucius hujeta
Lineage: Eukaryota; Metazoa; Chordata; Actinopteri; Characiformes; Ctenoluciidae
Description: SSU rRNA
Rfam family: Eukaryotic small subunit ribosomal RNA
Source: RNAcentral
GAAAAAUAACGAUACAGGUCUCUUUCGAGGCCCUGUAAUCGGAAUGAACGUAUCCUAAACCCAUGGGUGAGGACCCAUUGGAGGGCAAGUCUGGUGCUAGCAGCCGCGGUAAUUCCAGCUCCAAUAGCGUAUGUUAAAGUUGCUGCAGUUAAAAAGCUCGUAGUUGGAUCUCGGGAGUGGGCUGGCGGUCCGGAUGCCCUUGGCUGGGUGUCCGGUCCUUGGGGCCCGGAGCGUUUACUUUGAAAAAAUUAGAGUGUUCAAAGCGGGCCCCCUCACUCGCCUGAAUACCUGAGCUAGGAAUAAUGGAAUAGGACUCCGGUUCCACUGUGUGGGUUUCCGGAACCAGGGCCAUGAUAAAGACGGACGGCCGGGGGCAUUCGUAUUGCGCUGCUAGAGGUGAAAUUAUUGGACCGGCGCAAGACGGACAAAAGCGAAAGCAUUUGCCAAGAAUGUUUUCAUUAAUCAAGAACGAAAGUCGGAGG